GGAGAUUCAACAGCACAUUCUCAAACUUCCACUGGGGAAUUCUAUUGCUUAGUUUCCUAAUUGCACAGAAUAAAAUAACAACAGUUGUUUUGCUUUCUCCUCAGCCGAUUUUGGCCUCCCUACUCAGCUCACCCCUUAGAAGAAUACACGGAGCGUGUUAACAGGGACUGCUUGGUGGAUGGCGCCUGAAGUGGUGACGUGUCAACCAUAUGGCCCCAAAGUGGACAUAUGGUCUUUUGGAAUUGUGGGAAUUGAAAUGGUGGAAGAAGAACCUCCUUACUGGAACCAGAGUCCUGCCUUGGCUAAAUUCAUGAUAGCCUCAAUAGGGACCCCACAGCUGCUGCAUCCCAAGCUCCUCUCGGCUUGGCUGCGUGACUUCCUGAGCUGCUGCCUGCAGACAGACGAGGAGCGGCGCUGGUCUGCCAAGGAGCUCCUGCAGCAUCCAUUUAUAACAUCUGCUGAGCCUGCAUCCAGCCUGGUGCCACUGAUUGUUGCAGUGAGGAAGAGGAAGGAGACAGGACAGCACCACUUAGUUAUCAACCACCUUAGAGCAGGAUUGUAGGUUAGGAUAAGGGUAAGGUUUAGGGUUAGGGUUAUGCUUAGGCUUAGAUUUAGGCUUAGAUUUAGGCGUAAGUUUAGGCUUAGGUUUAGGCUUAGGCUUAGGUUUAGGCUUAGGCUUAGGCUUAGGUUUAGGCUUAGGACUAGGUUUAGUGCUGCGGUUACGGUUAGAGUUACUGUUAUGACUAGGUUUAGGUUUAGUGUUAGGGUUACAACUAGUCUUAAGGGGUUAGGGUUAGGGUAUGAUUUUGUAAUAGGUGUGCAGAGUAGGAUUUGAAAUUAAUAAAACCUUUCAAACCAAAACUCUCCUUGUAAUUUCCUUCCUUCUUACUCUGUGAAUAAGCUCAUGAUUUCCUUGUAAAUUGUCUGUUGUUUCUUAAAUGUGGAAGUCACCCCUACAGUGUCUUUGGCAUGUUGUGAAAUUGGGGAACGCUCAUCUUCAUUUAUCCUCUCCAGACCAUGCUGCUUUUGGAAUAUGACCCACUUGUCUGGUUUUGGUCACCUGUGGUACCUCUAUUUGAGGUAGAAAGGGCAAUGGCAUUUGCAUGAAAAAACAAAGGAGGAAUGGGACAGCCCAAAUACUCUAUGUGGAUACAGGCUCUCUGCUGUGACUCAGGAGCAUUCGAGUUCCUGCCACUUGGAUUUGUAUCCCCAAGUGCAAUCUCUUUGGCGGAAGGAGAGCCUUGCUCAAGUGAGAAAGCAGAAGGAUCAGAGCGGGGGCUCUGAAAGGUCUCCUCUGGUGCAGA
Molecule: long non-coding RNA, 1304 nt
Organism: Passer domesticus (house sparrow)
Lineage: Eukaryota; Metazoa; Chordata; Aves; Passeriformes; Passeridae
Exons: 3
Source: RefSeq, a predicted model, not a curated record